This 881-nucleotide ribosomal RNA is filed under the name Candidatus Uzinura diaspidicola. RNAcentral describes it as "bacterial SSU rRNA". It matches the Rfam family "Bacterial small subunit ribosomal RNA", at positions 308 to 1188 of the family's 1533-position model. Lineage: Bacteria; Pseudomonadati; Bacteroidota; Flavobacteriia; Flavobacteriales. The record is from RNAcentral.
CCACACUGGAACUGAGACACGGACCAGACUUCUACGGGAGGCAGCAGUGAGGAAUAUUGGUCAAUGGAGGAAACUCUGAACCAGCUAUACCGCGUGUAGGAUGACAGCCUUUUUUGGUUGUAAACUACUUUUGUAUAGAAAUAAAAAUUUCUACGUGAUAGUAAUCUGAAGGUACUAUACGAAUAAGUGUCAGCUAAUUUCGUGCCAGCAGCUGCGGUAAUACGUAAGACACAAGCGUUGUCCGGAUUUAUUGGGUUUAAAGGGUGUGUAGGCUGUUUAUUAAGUCAGUAGUGAAAGCUUACAGCUUAACUGUAAAAUAGCUAUUGAUACUGGUAAACUAGAGUAAGAUUGGAGUAUCUGGAAUGUAUGGUGUAGCGGUGAAAUGCAUAGAUAUCAUGCAGAACACCAAUAGCGAAGGCAGGAUACUAAAUCUUUAUUGACGCUGAGGCACGAAAGCGUGGGUAGCAAACAGGAUUAGAUACCCUGGUAGUCCACGCCCUAAACGAUGAUCACUAGCUAUUGGAAAAACUAUAUUCAGUGGCUAAGCGAAAGCGAUAAGUGAUCCACCUGGGGAAUAUAAUCGCAAGAUUGAAACUCAAAGGAAUUGACGGGGUUUCGCACAAGCGGUGGAGCAUGUGGUUUAAUUCGAUGAUACGCGAGGAACCUUACCAAGGCUUAAAUGUAUUACGAAUAAGCUGGAAACAGCUUAGUCUACAAGACGGAAUACAAGGUGCUGCAUGGUUGUCUUCAGUUCGUGCUGUGAAGUGUUUGGUUAAGUCCUAUAACGAGCGCAACCCUUAUUGCUAGUUGCCAUCAGAUAAUGCUGGGGACUCUAACAAAACUGCCAGUGUAAACUGCGAGGAAGGCGAGGAUAAUGUCAA